CUCUUUGGAGAUCACUCCUUGUGGAGUUUUUUGUGAGCCUACAAUACCAGAAGUUUGAUUGCUAUCCCUUGAAAAAGUAUCUGCAUUGAAAGGGUUCUUGGAGCAGCAUCUUCAGUUGGGUUGGAAGAGACUCCUCAAACUACUGUUUUGCUCUACUGGCAGUGAUUUCAAUCAACCACCCUCACUUAACUACAUACAAAACUUUAAAAUAACUACAUGGAACUACAUGAUCAUUCAUGCAGCAACAGCUUCCACUGAUCAUCUUCAGAAGAAUCUUG
RNAcentral lists this long non-coding RNA (278 nucleotides) under Gallus gallus (chicken). The record is from RNAcentral. Lineage: Eukaryota; Metazoa; Chordata; Aves; Galliformes; Phasianidae.